Olea europaea var. sylvestris is the source of this 411-nucleotide long non-coding RNA. RefSeq lists it as uncharacterized. The record is from RefSeq and is a predicted model, not a curated record. Lineage: Eukaryota; Viridiplantae; Streptophyta; Magnoliopsida; Lamiales; Oleaceae. The transcript is spliced from 2 exons.
GUGAAGCUAUUGAAUGAUAUUGUGUGGAGAUUGAUAGAUCAGAUGCUUAUAUGCAGAUACUUGAGAUGCAUUUGGAUCCAAGGAUGGUAGAAAGCUAUGUUUAAAGCUGCAUUUCGCCUUCUCCAAAACCAUGGACAAAUGUAGGAUCCCAUACAAGUUCUGGAAACACAUACAGAGGACUGCUUGUAAUGAAAUCAUUUCUGUUACAUUGGAAACAAUUAGUACCACAGCUAUUUCCUUUGUACUUAAAUAUAGUGCAUUUAGUUUUGGGUUGGGGAGUCUGUCCCCUUCCAUACAGGUAGAAAUCUUGCUUUCAAUUGCGUACUUAGCAUAUUCCUUUAUUUAUUUUAUGAACUGUUAUGUAGUAACAAACAAUUGAAUGAAGGAGAAUCCACUCAUUUAACAUAUUAA